This 656-nucleotide ribosomal RNA is filed under the name uncultured bacterium. Its description in RNAcentral is "bacterial SSU rRNA". It matches the Rfam family "Bacterial small subunit ribosomal RNA", at positions 93 to 740 of the family's 1533-position model. The record is from RNAcentral.
GAGUGGCGAAAGGGGCAGUAAGGCGUGGGUAACGUACCCCGGGGACUGGGAUAGCCAUUCUAACGAGUGGGUAAUACUAGGCGAUGUGGCGAGAUCGCAUGACCUUGCCACGAAACGAAUUUCGCCUCGGGAGCGGCUCACGUGGUAUUAGCUAGUUGGUGGGGUAAUGGCCUACCAAGGCAAAGAUGCCUAGCAGGUGUGAGAGCAUGACCUGCGCCACUGGCACUGAGACACUGGCCAGACUCCUACGGGAGGCUGCAGUCGAGGAUCUUCGGCAAUGGGCGCAAGCCUGACCGAGCGACGCCGCGUGUGCGAUGAAGGCCUUCGGGUUGUAAAGCACUGUCGAGGGGGAGGAAGCCCCCUCAAGAGGGUGAGGGUGAGGGGGUUGACCUAUCCCUGGAGGAAGCACGGGCUAAGUUCGUGCCAGCAGCCGCGGUAAGGCGAACCGUGCGAACGUUGUUCGGAUUCACUGGGCUUAAAGGGCGCGUAGGCGGGUUACCAAGUCAGGGGUGAAAUCUUUCGGCUCAACCGGAAAACGGCCCCUGAUACUGGUAGUCUUGAGGGAGGUAGGGGCAGGUGGAACUUCCGGUGGAGCGGUGAAAUGUGUUGAUAUCGGAAGGAACGCCGGUGGCGAAAGCGACCUGCUGGAUCUCUUC